Oncorhynchus tshawytscha (Chinook salmon) is the source of this 3610-nucleotide long non-coding RNA. Lineage: Eukaryota; Metazoa; Chordata; Actinopteri; Salmoniformes; Salmonidae. The record is from Ensembl.
AUGGUGGGAAGAGGAAAGGGACAGAGUGGUAGGGAAGGGGAAAGGGAGAGAUGGAGGGAAGAGGAAAGGGACAGAGUGGUAGGGAAGGGGAAAGGGAGAGAUGGAGGGAAGAGGAAAGGGACAGAGUGGUAGGGAAGGGGAAAGGGAGAGAUGGUGGGAAGAGGAAAGGGACAGAGUGGUAGGGGAGGGGAAAGGGACAGAGUGGUAGGGAAGGGGAAAGGGACAGAGUGGUAGGGAAGGGGAAAGGGAAGAUGGUGGGAAGAGGAAAGGGACAGAGUGGUAGGGAAGGGGAAAGGGAGAGAUGGUGGGAAGAGGAAAGGGACAGAGUGGUAGGGAAAAUGGACGAAGGAGAAGGAAAGGCAUUCCUAAAGCCUGAGAACUACAGGUAGACCUGUACCUGUGGUUAGAUACACUGUUCUACAUUAUAAACACUCAAUCACACACACAAUGUUGGAUAUACUACAUUAAUUGGCAUGGACCUGUUAUUAUAGUCCAUUAAUAACACACACACACACACGGGUAAUUCUCACGAAACUGUAAUAAAAAAAUACAUUUAGUCAUUUUUCACAAAAUGUCCUCUUGAAUAACUGAGAUUAGGAUCUAUAUGUAUCUAUUUCAUACUUAUUAUUAUUUUUUAUUAGAUAUUAUGCAUUCUACCAACGUUUUCACAAAAUUCUCAUUCGUUUUUGAAGUCCAAAAAAGUUAAAUCAAUAUUUCUAAUAUUUUUUAACAUUGCUCCCCUAAUGAAAAUGCCUGAGUUAAACAUAACACUGAAAAUACAAUUAUUAUAAAAUGAAAAUCAGACUUUUCCCCAAUUUGAGCUCUUUAGCUGUUUUCUAAGGACUACUCUAGAUGAUGCAUCAUGGGUGAAGAAAUGUUUAUUUCAAAGCUGGAGUUUUAUAGGAACUUGGUAAUGAGACAUAUCCACAGACACUGCUUGUAUGUAAUAAAUAUUAUAGUUUAAUGUAAACUUCAACUAGUAUACCAUUUUUAUAAUUUAUGGAGAAACUACAGCAACAUAUUUUGUUUUAUUUAAACAAGUUAGGUUUUUUUAAAGAUGUAUUUUUAUAAAAUUACCAUGAAUUUAAUCAGUACGCAUUUCAGUAAUGAAAAUGUAUUUUUCAUUAUUUUUUUACAUGACACUUUCCCCUAAAACUAGACAUCUUAGUCCUCAGAAUGAUAUCAUGCACCACCCCACACACACACAAGUUAAGGAAUUGCAUUGGGAACGUCUGUGUGAUUUCAGUCCCUCUAAAAGAGUGUUCAAAAGGAUGUGAAUGGAAGAGAGGACAGAAUGAUGAGAAUGAAGGGAAGAAUAGAAGGAAGGGGAGAAGGAAGAAGAGAAGGAAGGGGAGAUGGGAGAAGGAAGAAGAGAAGAAAGGGGAGAAGGAAGAAGAGAAGGAAGAAGAGAAGAAAGGGGAGAAGGAAGGGGAGAUGGAAGAAUAGAAGGAAGGGAAGAAGAGAAGAAAGGGGAGAAGGAAGAAUAGAAGGAAGAAGAGAAGGAAGGGGAGAAGGAAGAAGAGAAGGAAGGGGAGAAAGUGUGAUGCUGCUUCUAGUAUGGCUCUUCUUACUGUACUCAUGUGCCUUACAGCCAGACUAUGGUGCUUUUACCUUAUUCUGUUAUUUUUCACUUACCUUGUUGUUGCUCAACCUGCUAUAAGCAUGUUUUGUCCAUGUGCCUUUAUGUCCAAUACUCCAGUUGCCAUGAAAGACAGACUUUAGAAAAGAGACACAACAAGAUUUAACCUACUGCACUGUAUGGACCUUGAUUUGAGGGCCUGUUAAUAAACUGCUUUAUUGAAUGGUUAAUAAACAAUUUAAUAAUGUAAACUGGUUCAUAAACAAUGUAAUCAUGUUUAUAAGCAUCUUAUAAGCAGUCCUUCAAACAAAGUGUUAAAUCGUUUUGGGGGUAUAUUGAGAUUCUGCGGAUUCUGAAUGAUGCUCUCCUUCCUCUGCUGAUGACAUGUUUAUGUGCCAGUGGUAACGCUCUGUCUGUAGACACUCUCCGUUGACAUUGGAGAGGAAAAGACUUGUUAUCAAACAGUUUUAUCAUGUUUUCGCUCUGUAUGUGCGUGACUAUUUUCAGUAUAUCUUCUGAGUGUCAUUGACAUGUUACCAAGGUCACACAGGCAGAACUUUAUUUUCAGUAUAUCUUCUGAGUGUCAUUGACAUGUUACCAAGGUCACACAGGCAGAACUUUAUUUUCAGUAUAUCUUCUGAGUGUCAUUGACAUCUUACCAAGGUCACACAGGCAGAACUUUAUUUUCAGUAUAUCUUCUGAGUGUCAUUGACAUGUUACCAAGGUCACACAGGCAGAACUUUAUUUUCAGUUUAUUUCAAUAGUUUUUGCAAAACAAAAAUUGCCAUUGUAAAUGUAAAGGCAAAAAACAACAGUCCAGCCAGUCAGGAUCCCAAAUAGAAUGUCAAUAAUUCAGAUUUUUUUUAAAGCAAUAUUUGAACUGUUUUCCAGUCUAGACCAGUUAAGACCAGUAUGGACCAGUUGUGGUUUCAUUGCAGUGUGGUAUGAUGCAUGUCAUCGACUAGAGAUGCAUUCAACUCCGCUAACGAUUAUAAAGCUCCCAACUCUGAGCGCCCACCAACAAUCCAACUCACCAAGAAUGUUCGACAACAGGAGCAAACUCUUCUAUUCUAUUGAAAACACUUGAUUGUGUACUCUUUCUUCAACAAUGACGAAAGUUUUCUGCAAAUGUUUGCAGAGUUGAAUGCCAGUCUGGUUUGGUCCAGUCCAAUCUGUUUCUGGGCAUAAUGAUCCAGUAGAAUCCUGACCCACACUGAUGAUAUCAUGCAUCAUGAUGGAUAUUCAUUGGGGGCCUGGAUUGGUUGGUCAGAACAGGACAUUUCUUCUCAGGAGACUGGAAAGGGCCAUUGUAAUUUAGGCUUUAUUUAGCACAGAUUUUUUUAGGCCAUACUGCCCCGGAUUAGAUUAUCCCGUGUGUGUGGUAUGUGUUUUUCUGUUAUUCUAGAGUGAUUUGAGGUAUGAUUCCUAUGAGAAACAGGUUUACAGUCAUGUUUCAUGUUUGACAUCAUUGUUUCAGAAAAGUUAGGAUUUUUCUUGAGUUUGGAUUUUAGCAACUCAAUUGCUCAGUAAGCAAAAAUAUGAUCCAUGGAACAAUGGAAGUGUUGUAUUUUUAUCAUUAUAUAUUUUCAAUUGUUGUUGUAUGUUAAGUGCCUUAUCUGUAAUGUAUGGGAUAGCCUACCCUCUCACCUUUCUACCUUCUUCAGCUCCUCUCAUCCUCAUUCAUCCUUUCUCCCUCUUUCUUCUGCUUCUUAUUGUUCCCCACUCCUACUCAUCCAUCUCCUCCCUCAUUCUGAGAUCCUCCCCUCAGCCUUUCACAUCCCCACUCCAACCCUCGUUCAUUUGUACUAACCUUGACCAAUCUUCCUCUCUUCCCCCGUCGCUUUGGAAAAACAACAGUCACGUAAUUACAGUGUUAUUUUUAUGUGUGUAUUAUGAUGCUUAAGUAUUAUCAUUAAUAAUAAAAACAACGAUCAUGAAUAACUACGCCAAACCUGUCUACUCCAAUGUUUGUUUUACACACUCAAAUUAUGAAGUUCUCCUCACUGAUCGAUAAUGGGAGAGUAUCUACAG